This 116-nucleotide ribosomal RNA is filed under the name Escherichia coli. The record is from RNAcentral. Lineage: Bacteria; Pseudomonadati; Pseudomonadota; Gammaproteobacteria; Enterobacterales; Enterobacteriaceae.
CCGGGCGGCCGUAGCGCGGAGGUCCCACCUGACCCCAUGCCGAACUCAGAAGUGAAACGCCGUAGCGCCGAUGGUAGUGUGGGGUCUCCCCAUGCGAGAGUAGGGAACUGCCAGGC